Molecule: long non-coding RNA, 666 nt
Filed under: Homo sapiens (human)
Lineage: Eukaryota; Metazoa; Chordata; Mammalia; Primates; Hominidae
Description: novel transcript
Source: RNAcentral
GUGAACCCCCGCGCCCUUUCCCCCACGGUCCCGGAGGAUGAAGUGGGGUGCAACGGAGACUCAGCUGAGCGUCCAGUUUCGGGCAAUACAAAUCUCUCGGCUUCUACGAGCAGCCAGACGACCCCGCGGACCGUCGCUCCUGAACUUGACCGAGAUGCAAACUUCGGAGUGUUCUCAACGUGGGGGGCCGACUCUCGGGAGACCGCCCCUAAACUUAAGUCCCCUUAGGCUCGCCCCCACCUGGGACUUCACAGAGCCACCUUAAGGGCGGUAUUCCCGCCCCCCCGGAAGUGCGGGGGGGUGGCAGCGUACUUGGAUUCUCAGCCUCCAGCCCCGCGCGGUGGCGGCCGCCGGUGGAUGACUUCGGGCCCCACAAGUGGGGAAACAACAACCACCCCUCGCCCGCACCCCUGGCCCAAAACAACUGGCCAGGUUCCCUGGCCUCCCGGGUCCCUGCAUCCCCCGCAUCCCCGUCCGCAGCCGUGAACUUGAGCCCCCCUCCAUCAGAGGUUGCGAGCGUCCGCCCGCUCGCGGCAGCCACCGUCACUAGACAGUCAAACCCCAAGACGUCAGCCCACAAUGCACCGGGCGGGCCGGGAAAAACGGCCCGGGGAGGGGACCGGGGAAGAGAGGGCCGAGAGGCGUGCGGCAGGGGGGAGGGUAGGA